This 497-nucleotide ribosomal RNA is filed under the name uncultured bacterium. RNAcentral describes it as "partial 16S ribosomal RNA". It matches the Rfam family "Bacterial small subunit ribosomal RNA", at positions 28 to 507 of the family's 1533-position model. The record is from RNAcentral.
GAUGAACGCUGGCGGCGUGCCUAAUACAUGCAAGUCGAGCGAACGGACGAGAAGCUUGCUCCUCUGAUGUUAGCGGCGGACGGGUGAGUAACACGUGGAUAACCUACCUAUAAGACUGGGAUAACUUCGGGAAACCGUAGCUAAUACCGGAUAAUAUUUUGAACCGCAUGGUUCAAAAGUGAAAGACGGUCUUGCUGUCACUUAUAGAUGGAUCCGCGCUGCAUUAGCUAGUUGGUAAGGUAACGGCUUACCAAGGCAACGAUGCAUAGCCGACCUGAGAGGGUGAUCGGCCACACUGGAACUGAGACACGGUCCAGACUCCUACGGGAGGCAGCAGUAGGGAAUCUUCCGCAAUGGGCGAAAGCCUGACGGAGCAACGCCGCGUGAGUGAUGAAGGUCUUCGGAUCGUAAAACUCUGUUAUUAGGGAAGAACAUAUGUGUAAGUAACUGUGUACAUCUUGACGGUACCUAAUCAGAAAGCCACGGCUAACUACGUG